GAUGAACGCUAGCGGCAGGCUUAAUACAUGCAAGUCGAGGGGCAGCAGCUUUGUAGCAAUACAGGGGCUGGCGACCGGCAAACGGGUGCGGAACACGUACGCAACCUUCCUUUAACUGGAAGAUAGCCCACCGAAAGGUGGAUUAAUACUCCAUAACAUAUUGAAGAGGCAUCUCUUUGAUAUUAAAGCUCCGGCGGUUAAAGAUGGGCGUGCGUCUGAUUAGGUAGUUGGCGGGGUAACGCCCACCAAGCCUUCGAUCAGUAGCUGAUGUGAGAGCAUGAUCAGCCACACGGGCACUGAGACACGGGCCCGACUCCUACGGGAGGCAGCAGUAAGGAAUAUUGGUCAAUGGACGCAAGUCUGAACCAGCCAUGCCGCGUGGAGGAUGAAGGCCCUCUGGGUUGUAAACUUCUUUCUUUGGGACGAAACCCCUGUUUCUACGGGGACUGACGGUACCAGAGGAAUAAGCACCGGCUAACUCCGUGCCAGCAGCCGCGG
RNAcentral lists this ribosomal RNA (498 nucleotides) under uncultured bacterium. Its description in RNAcentral is "bacterial SSU rRNA". It matches the Rfam family "Bacterial small subunit ribosomal RNA", at positions 28 to 520 of the family's 1533-position model. The record is from RNAcentral.